RNAcentral lists this ribosomal RNA (380 nucleotides) under uncultured eukaryote. RNAcentral describes it as "partial 18S ribosomal RNA". It matches the Rfam family "Eukaryotic small subunit ribosomal RNA", at positions 592 to 976 of the family's 1831-position model. The record is from RNAcentral.
CAAUAGCGUAUAUUAAAGUUGUUGCGGUUAAAAAGCUCGUAGUUGGAUUUCUGCCGAGGACGACCGGUCCGCCCUCUGGGUGAGUAUCUGGCUCGGCCUGGGCAUCUUCUUGGAGAACGUAGCUGCACUUGACUGUGUGGUGCGGCAUCCAGGACUUUUACUUUGAGGAAAUUAGAGUGUUUCAAGCAGGCUUACGCCUUGAAUACAUUAGCAUGGAAUAAUAAGAUAGGACCUCGGUUCUAUUUUGUUGGUUUCUAGAGCUGAGGUAAUGAUUAAUAGGGAUAGUUGGGGGCAUUCGUAUUUAACUGUCAGAGGUGAAAUUCUUGGAUUUGUUAAAGAUGGACUACUGCGAAAGCAUUUGCCAAGGAUGUUUUCAUUGA